Molecule: ribosomal RNA, 253 nt
Filed under: uncultured bacterium
Lineage: Bacteria
Description: partial 16S ribosomal RNA
Rfam family: Bacterial small subunit ribosomal RNA
Source: RNAcentral
UACGAAGGGGGCUAGCGUUGCUCGGAAUUACUGGGCGUAAAGCGCACGUAGGCGGAUUGUUAAGUCGGGGGUGAAAUCCUGGAGCUCAACUCCAGAACUGCCUUCGAAACUGGCGAUCUUGAGUCCGGGAGAGGUGAGUGGAACUGCGAGUGUAGAGGUGAAAUUCGUAGAUAUUCGCAAGAACACCAGUGGCGAAGGCGGGUCUCUGGGCAACAACUGACGCUGAGGAGCGAAAGCGUGGGGAGCGAACAGG